RNAcentral lists this ribosomal RNA (1415 nucleotides) under Lacticaseibacillus rhamnosus. RNAcentral's name for it is "bacterial SSU rRNA". It matches the Rfam family "Bacterial small subunit ribosomal RNA". Lineage: Bacteria; Bacillati; Bacillota; Bacilli; Lactobacillales; Lactobacillaceae. The record is from RNAcentral.
GUCGAACGAGUUCUGAUUAUUGAAAGGUGCUUGCAUCUUGAUUUAAUUUUGAACGAGUGGCGGACGGGUGAGUAACACGUGGGUAACCUGCCCUUAAGUGGGGGAUAACAUUUGGAAACAGAUGCUAAUACCGCAUAAAUCCAAGAACCGCAUGGUUCUUGGCUGAAAGAUGGCGUAAGCUAUCGCUUUUGGAUGGACCCGCGGCGUAUUAGCUAGUUGGUGAGGUAACGGCUCACCAAGGCAAUGAUACGUAGCCGAACUGAGAGGUUGAUCGGCCACAUUGGGACUGAGACACGGCCCAAACUCCUACGGGAGGCAGCAGUAGGGAAUCUUCCACAAUGGACGCAAGUCUGAUGGAGCAACGCCGCGUGAGUGAAGAAGGCUUUCGGGUCGUAAAACUCUGUUGUUGGAGAAGAAUGGUCGGCAGAGUAACUGUUGUCGGCGUGACGGUAUCCAACCAGAAAGCCACGGCUAACUACGUGCCAGCAGCCGCGGUAAUACGUAGGUGGCAAGCGUUAUCCGGAUUUAUUGGGCGUAAAGCGAGCGCAGGCGGUUUUUUAAGUCUGAUGUGAAAGCCCUCGGCUUAACCGAGGAAGUGCAUCGGAAACUGGGAAACUUGAGUGCAGAAGAGGACAGUGGAACUCCAUGUGUAGCGGUGAAAUGCGUAGAUAUAUGGAAGAACACCAGUGGCGAAGGCGGCUGUCUGGUCUGUAACUGACGCUGAGGCUCGAAAGCAUGGGUAGCGAACAGGAUUAGAUACCCUGGUAGUCCAUGCCGUAAACGAUGAAUGCUAGGUGUUGGAGGGUUUCCGCCCUUCAGUGCCGCAGCUAACGCAUUAAGCAUUCCGCCUGGGGAGUACGACCGCAAGGUUGAAACUCAAAGGAAUUGACGGGGGCCCGCACAAGCGGUGGAGCAUGUGGUUUAAUUCGAAGCAACGCGAAGAACCUUACCAGGUCUUGACAUCUUUUGAUCACCUGAGAGAUCAGGUUUCCCCUUCGGGGGCAAAAUGACAGGUGGUGCAUGGUUGUCGUCAGCUCGUGUCGUGAGAUGUUGGGUUAAGUCCCGCAACGAGCGCAACCCUUAUGACUAGUUGCCAGCAUUUAGUUGGGCACUCUAGUAAGACUGCCGGUGACAAACCGGAGGAAGGUGGGGAUGACGUCAAAUCAUCAUGCCCCUUAUGACCUGGGCUACACACGUGCUACAAUGGAUGGUACAACGAGUUGCGAGACCGCGAGGUCAAGCUAAUCUCUUAAAGCCAUUCUCAGUUCGGACUGUAGGCUGCAACUCGCCUACACGAAGUCGGAAUCGCUAGUAAUCGCGGAUCAGCACGCCGCGGUGAAUACGUUCCCGGGCCUUGUACACACCGCCCGUCACACCAUGAGAGUUUGUAACACCCGAAGCCGGUGGCGUAACCC